CGCCGUCCCCUCCCGCGUCCCGACUCNGAGUCUCGGAGGGCAGCAUAGGGAAUCUUGCGCAAUGGCGAAAGCCUGACGCAGCAACGCCGCGUGGGGGACGAAGGCUUUCUGAGUUGUAAACCCUUUCAGCAGGGACGAUUGUGACGGUACCUGCAGAGAAGCACCGGCCAACUAUGUGCCAGCCGCCGCGGUAAUUC
This 197-nucleotide ribosomal RNA is filed under the name uncultured bacterium. RNAcentral describes it as "partial 16S ribosomal RNA". It matches the Rfam family "Bacterial small subunit ribosomal RNA", at positions 330 to 526 of the family's 1533-position model. The record is from RNAcentral.